UCCCCUCCUCCUCCCAUGCACCACUGCUCACGCUGCACCAGGGCCGGUUUCCUUCUCCUCGGAGUCUCAAACGACAGCAGAGCCUGACAAGCAAACAUGCUGCUGCUGGCAGCGCUUCUGGCCACAGCCGCUUGCUCUUACGGAUAUGCGCAAGAAAUUCCCAUGCAGAGCCCUAUAUCCAUCACCAAGGCUAAAGGAAGUGUACGUCUGGAAUGUGACUUUAAAUAUGUCUCUCAAAAUUUUGAUGGCCUUGUCAUACACUGGUAUCAACAGAAGGAGGGUAAAGCUCCACAGAGGCUACUGUUCUUUUCAUCAGGGACAGCUUCAUUUGACAGUGGCUUUCAAGCAAACAGGUACAUGGUUGAAAAAGUUUCUGGCCAGAAACGGUGUGUUUUUACAAUAAAAGAUGUAAUUCCAGACGAUGCUGCUACUUACUACUGCGCCUACUGGGAGGAUGUUGAUGUCAAAAUAUUUGGAAGUGGAACUAAGCUUAUUGUUUCAAGUAAGUAUGAAAUGUAAAACUUAACUACUUCUGAAAUGCUUUUCAAUACAGUUAGAUUUGCAGGAUUUUCCUCUUAAACAGCAUUUCUGUAGGCAAAGCACA
Molecule: non-coding RNA, 604 nt
Organism: Grus americana (Whooping crane)
Lineage: Eukaryota; Metazoa; Chordata; Aves; Gruiformes; Gruidae
Source: the annotation of a RefSeq genome assembly